AGCCUUCGCCUCAAGUUGGAGUUCAUGGUUUAUCCCCUACUGAAGCGAGGAAGAUGUUUGAAGACAUUGUUAAAGCUAAACGGGUCUUGCCACGAGAAGAGCAGAGUUCGUCAAAGCCCACCAACGUUACUGGCAGACCGAUUUCUUUUCUCACAAAGCCUCGAAAAAUUCUGAA
This is a long non-coding RNA of Neltuma alba, 175 nucleotides long. RefSeq lists it as uncharacterized. The transcript is spliced from 3 exons. The record is from RefSeq and is a predicted model, not a curated record. Lineage: Eukaryota; Viridiplantae; Streptophyta; Magnoliopsida; Fabales; Fabaceae.